UGAGGAAUAUUGGUCAAUGGUCGCUAGACUGAACCAGCCAAGUAGCGUGCGGGAUGAAGGCCCUCCGGGUCGUAAACCGCUUUUAGACGGGGAUAAAAGGGCGUACGUGUACGCCGUAUCGCAUGUACCGUCAGAAAAAGGACCGGCUAAUUCCGUGCCAGCAGCCGCGGUAAUACGGAAGGUCCGGGCGUUAUCCGGAUUUAUUGGGUUUAAAGGGAGCGUAGGCGGACUUUCAAGUCAGUGGUAAAAUCGUGUGGCUCAACCAUACCUCGCCAUUGAAACUGGAAGUCUGGAGUGCACACAGGGGUGCCGGAAUUCAUGGUGUAGCGGUGAAAUGCUUAGAUAUCAUGAAGAACUCCGAUCGCGAAGGCAAGUGCCCGGGGGUGCAACUGACGCUGAGGCUCGAAGGUGCGGGUAUCGAACAGGAUUAGAUACC
RNAcentral lists this ribosomal RNA (436 nucleotides) under uncultured bacterium. Its description in RNAcentral is "bacterial SSU rRNA". It matches the Rfam family "Bacterial small subunit ribosomal RNA", at positions 355 to 786 of the family's 1533-position model. The record is from RNAcentral.